GACCCCAGGUCAGGCGGGAUUACCC
This 25-nucleotide ribosomal RNA is filed under the name Gentiana clusii. RNAcentral's name for it is "partial 26S ribosomal RNA". RNAcentral also lists the same sequence under 1 other name. The record is from RNAcentral. Lineage: Eukaryota; Viridiplantae; Streptophyta; Magnoliopsida; Gentianales; Gentianaceae.